RNAcentral lists this ribosomal RNA (430 nucleotides) under Pseudomonadota bacterium. RNAcentral's name for it is "Proteobacteria bacterium partial 16S ribosomal RNA". It matches the Rfam family "Bacterial small subunit ribosomal RNA", at positions 355 to 776 of the family's 1533-position model. Lineage: Bacteria; Pseudomonadati; Pseudomonadota. The record is from RNAcentral.
UGGGGAAUAUUGGACAAUGGGGGGAACCCUGAUCCAGCCAUGCCGCGUGUGUGAAGAAGGCCUUAUGGUUGUAAAGCACUUUAAGCGAGGAGGAGGGUACUGGUAUUAAUACUACCAGGUACUGAACGUUACUCGCAGAAUAAGCACCGGCUAACUCUGUGCCAGCAGCCGCGGUAAUACAGAGGGUGCGAGCGUUAAUCGGAUUUACUGGGCGUAAAGCGUGCGUAGGCGGCUAAUUGAGUCGGAUGUGAAAUCCCCGAGCUUAACUUGGGAAUUGCAUUCGAUACUGGUUAGCUAGAGUGUGGGAGAGGAUGGUAGAAUUCCAGGUGUAGCGGUGAAAUGCGUAGAGAUCUGGAGGAAUACCGAUGGCGAAGGCAGCCAUCUGGCCUAACACUGACGCUGAGGUACGAAAGCAUGGGGAGCAAACAGG